AUUCCCCUAGUAACUGCGAGUGAAGCGGGAAAAGCUCAAAUUUAAAAUCUGGUGGCCUUUGGUCAUCCGAGUUGUAAUUUAGAGAAGCGUCUUCCGCGCUGGACCGUGCACAAGUCUCCUGGAAUGGAGCGUCAUAGAGGGUGAGAAUCCCGUCUUUGGCACGGAUCCCGGUGCUUCUGUGAUGCGCUCUCGAAGAGUCGAGUUGUUUGGGAAUGCAGCUCAAAAUGGGUGGUGAACUCCAUCUAAAGCUAAAUAUUGGCGAGAGACCGAUAGCGAACAAGUACCGUGAGGGAAAGAUGAAAAGCACUUUGGAAAGAGAGUGAAACAGUACGUGAAAUUGUUGAAAGGGAAACGCUUGAAGUCAGUCGCGUCGUCCGAGACUCAGCCUCGCCUCGGCUUGGUGUACUUCUCGACCGACGGGUCAGCAUCAAUUUCACCCCUUGGAUAAUGGCGAGGGAAAUGUGGCACCUUUGCGGGUGCGUUAUAGUCCCUCGUCGCAUGCAAGGGUCGGGAUUGAGGAACUCAGCACGCGCCUUUUGGUGUCGGGGCUUUUGCCCACGAUACGUGCUUAGGAUGUUGGCGUAAUGGCUUUAAACGACCCGUCUUGAAACACGGACCAAGGAGUCUAACAUGCCCGCGAGUGUUCGGGUGGAAAACCCGUGCGCGCAAUGAAAGUGAAAGUUGGGACCUCUGUCGUGGAGGGCACCGACGCCCGGACCAGACCUUCUGUGACGGAUCUGCGGUGGAGCGUGUAUGUUAGGACCCGAAAGAUGGUGAACUAUGCCUGAAUAGGGUGAAGCCAGAGGAAACUCUGGUGGAGGCUCGUAGCGAUUCUGACGUGCAAAUCGAUCGUCAAAUUUGGGUAUAGGGGCGAAAGAC
RNAcentral lists this ribosomal RNA (879 nucleotides) under Russula emetica. RNAcentral describes it as "eukaryotic LSU rRNA". It matches the Rfam family "Eukaryotic large subunit ribosomal RNA", at positions 74 to 931 of the family's 3401-position model. Lineage: Eukaryota; Fungi; Basidiomycota; Agaricomycetes; Russulales; Russulaceae. The record is from RNAcentral.